UGAGAUAGCCUGAUCACACUUGCUCACUCA
RNAcentral lists this non-coding RNA (30 nucleotides) under Mus musculus (house mouse). Lineage: Eukaryota; Metazoa; Chordata; Mammalia; Rodentia; Muridae. The record is from RNAcentral.